Molecule: long non-coding RNA, 1238 nt
Organism: Ictalurus punctatus (channel catfish)
Lineage: Eukaryota; Metazoa; Chordata; Actinopteri; Siluriformes; Ictaluridae
Source: Ensembl
CUGAAUCUGCAUAACGCUAUACUAUGCAUUGUACUGCUGCCACAUUAUUGGCUGGUUGUGUAAUUGCAUGAGUACACAGGUAAAAUUUUGCCACUGAGUGUAUAUUACAUUACUUACAGUAUAUACAUCAUAUACAGAUUAUAUGAUAAUGUUAUUUAUUGAAGAGAACAGUUAUCCAAUACAAACUGGGCCUGUGUGAAAAUGUAUUUGCGCCUGUAGUUACUAAUUGCCCAAAUCUAUGAAAGACUUAAAUAGAACAAAUCAACACUUAAAUAGAACUUUUUCAACAGCAUGAAGUUGGUUAAAAGGUCUUAUGCAGUAACACACUAUGCCAAAAUUGAAAGAUAUUCCUGAAUGAUGAGGAAGAAGGUAAUUGAAAUACAUCAGUCUGGGAAGUGUUAUAAAGCUAUUUCAAAGGUUCUGGGACUCCAAAGAACCACAGUGAGAGCCAUUAUCUCCAAAUGGAAAAACUCAGCACAGUAGUGAACCUUCCCAGAAGUGUCUGACCUUCCAAAAUUCCUCCAAGAGCACAGCAACUACUCAUCCAGCAAGUCACAAAAGAGCCAAGAACAACAUCAAAGGAACUAUAGACCUCUUUUGCAUCAAUAAAGGUCACUGUUCAUGACUCCACUAUCAUGACUAUUCAUGACUCCACUAUCAGAAAGACACUGGGUAAAAAUGGCAUCUAUGUAAGAGUGGUGAGGUGAAAACCACUGCUGACCCAGAAGGACAUUAUGGCUUAUCUGAAUUUUGCCAAAACACACCUUGAUGAUCCGCAAAUCUUUUGGGAGAAUGUUCUGUGGCUUGAUGAGUCGAAAGUGGAACUGUUUGGAAGACAGGCAUCAUACCUACGGUCAAGCAUGGUGGUGGAAGUGUGAUGGUGUGGGGAUGCUUUGUUGCAUCAGGGCCUGGGCAACUUGCAGUAAUUGAGGGAAAAAUUAAUUCUGCUCUCUGCCAGAAUAUCCUAAAGGAGGAUGUCUGGUCUUCAGUCCGUAAAUUGAAACUCAAGUGUAACUGGAUUAUGCAGCAAGACAAUGAUCCAAAGUAUAGGAGUAAAUCCUAGUCCUAGAAGUAAGUGAAAGACUGAUCUCCAGUUAUCGGAAGUGUUUGUUUGCAGUUAUUGCUGCUAAAGGUGGCACAACCAGAUUUUAACUUUAAGGGAGCAAUUAGUUUUUCAUAUUGGUAAUAGGUGUUACACCUAUCUGUGCACUACCAAAACUAAAGUUUACUUUACACAA